GGAGCCGGAGAAGAGCACUAGUAACAACCACCACAGCCCCCUCCCCGCCCGCCGCCCUCCCUCGGCACCCACCCACUCACCCGCCCCGUUUGCCGACACCGACCAACCCCACCUCUCGUUCCUUUGAACGGCGUCGGCUGCAGUCGCUUGCACCAGCCCGUCUGGCCACCAACGCCGCCGAGAAAGGAGCCGCCGCUGCCUGCGGCCCCCUCCCGCCCGGGCCGCGGGAGCAGCAGGGUGAGGACGAGCCGGCUGAGGAGGAAGAGGACAGGAGCAGCUCGCACCCCUCUGCGCUAGCGCACAUCCCGCCGCCCUCCGGGGAGGCUCGGGCGCCGGCCCCUUCCUCCCCGAGGACGUGUGCCGAGCCGAGGCGCCUGCCCUGAGGGAGGAAAAUGCUCGGGCUCCAUGGCUGCCAGUGAUGGAGCGGUCCCUGGGCUCCCGCUGCCAGUGCCGCCGCCGCGCCCCGGCCGUGCUCCGCGAGGACCCGGCGUCUCUGCGCGCCCGCCCGCGCCUCGUUGCUGGGCUCACCGUACCGGGCGCCCCGCCGCCGCCCCGCUCCGAGCCUCGCCGCCCCGGCCCCAGCCGCGGCCAGCGUUUGCUCACGGAACAGCCGCCGCGAGCCCAGGGGGUUUGAAAGGGUCCGAGGGGCGUGGGGGGAGGGCCGAGCGGGGACAGCGGGGCCGGGAGGGGAGGUUUGAGCGACACUGAGCUCGGGGCUCGCCGGCGGCGGCGGCGCUGGGGGUGGCGAGGGGAAGGCGACACUCGCUCCGCGCUGCUUUCGUGCAGAGCGACCGGGAGGGUUUUGCAGCGGCCGCCGCCGCCGCGGCGGGAGGAGGGGUUGAGGUGGCUUUUGAGUUGUCGGGAGAAGGUGGGCAUUUCUCGGUUUUCCCACCCCCUCCACUUGUCUCCCCCUUGCCUUGUCUUCCCCUCCCUCCUGCCCCGCACCCCACGUGAAGCGGAAUAUAAAGGGGGGUGUGAGACUAGAGGGGAAAGUGAAUGGCGAAGGACUGAAGGGGUCCCCCCUUCGGGUCCCUGGCCGCCCUGUUCACCCUCGUUCAUCCUCCCUUCCCGAAGCUCGCCCUCGAAGGCAGGAGCGGCCGGCGCCUUCGGCUGAGGAGGAGGAGGAGAAGGAGGAACCGCGCCGGGCGGAGCGUCAGGUCCCGUUUUCCUCCCCGGCGUCUUGAAUACAAAGAUUACGGUGCAGAAGGAAAUUGCACUCGCCUCCUCCGCCCCCCGGUACCCGACACAAUGCACCAGCCGCCUGAGUCCACCGCCGCGGCGGCCGCGGCCGCUGCAGACAUUAGUGCUAGGAAGAUGGCGCACCCGGCAAUGUUCCCUAGAAGGGGCAGCGGUAGUGGCAGCGCCUCUGCUCUCAAUGCAGCAGGUACCGGCGUUGGUAGUAGUGCCACAUCUUCCGAGGAUUUUCCGCCUCCGUCGCUGCUCCAGCCGCCACCUCCUGCAGCAUCUUCUACGUCGGGACCACAGCCUCCGCCUCCACAAAGCCUGAACCUCCUCUCUCAGGCUCAGCUGCAGGCACAGCCUCUUGCGCCAGGCGGAACUCAAAUGAAAAAGAAAAGUGGCUUCCAGAUAACUAGCGUUACCCCGGCUCAGAUCUCCGCCAGCAUCAGCUCUAACAACAGUAUCGCAGAGGACACCGAGAGCUAUGAUGACCUGGAUGAGUCUCACACGGAAGAUCUGUCUUCUUCCGAGAUCCUUGAUGUGUCACUUUCCAGGGCUACUGACUUAGGGGAGCCUGAACGCAGCUCCUCAGAAGAGACUCUGAAUAACUUCCAGGAAGCUGAGACACCUGGGGCAGUCUCUCCCAACCAGCCCCACCUUCCGCAGCCUCAUUUGCCUCACCUUCCACAACAGAACGUUGUGAUCAAUGGGAAUGCUCAUCCACACCACCUCCAUCACCACCAUCACAUCCAUCAUGGGCACCACCUACACCAUGGGCACCACCAUCCAUCCCAUGCUGGUGUGGCCAGUACAUCCAUUCCUGGAGGGCCACCCUCCAGUCCAGUAUCCAGAAAACUCUCUGCAGCUGGAAGCUCAGACAGUGUUCUAGCAGCGGCCCCAACUUCUGCUGUAUCAUCCGGUGGCUCACCUGGAUCUGUAAUGACUAAUAUCCGUGCUCCAAGUACUACUGGCAGUAUAGGUAUAAGUUCUGUUACUGGCACUAAUACAAUGAGUAAUGUCAACAUUACUGCCGUGGGUAGUUUUAAUCCUAGUGUGACAAGCAGCAUACUUGGUAAUGCUAAUAUAAAUGCAAGCAAUAUUCCUAGUGCUGCUACUGUGAGUGUUGGGCCUGGAGUUAGCAGCAGUGUUAAUGUGAAUAUCUUGAGUGGCAUGGGCAAUGGUACUAUAUCCUCCUCCGCUGUUGUUAACAGUGCCCCCAGUGCAGCUGCAGGGAUGACUGCGGGGUCCCUUUCGGGUCAGCAGCAGCCACCAACAGUUAACACGUCAAGGUUCAGAGUUGUGAAGUUAGAUUCUAGUUCUGAACCCUUUAAAAAAGGCAGAUGGACUUGCACCGAGUUCUAUGAAAAAGAAAAUGCUGUACCUGCCGCAGAAGGUGUGGCGAUAAAUAAAGUGGUGGAAACUGUGAAACAGAACCCGACAGAAGUGACUUCGGAGAGGGAGAGCACUAGUGGGAGUUCAGUGAGCAGUAGUGUCAGCACACUGAGUCACUACACGGAGAGUGUGGGAAGCGGAGAGAUGGGAGCCCCUACUGUGGUGGUGCAGCAGCAGCAACCAGCUCUUCAAGGUAUGGCUCUUCCCCAGAUGGAUUUCAGUAGCACUGGUCCCCAGAGUAUUUCAGCAGUUAGCAUUCCACAGAGUAUUUCUCAGUCACAGAUCACGCAAGUACAAUUACAGUCUCAAGAACUGAGCUAUCCUCAAAAGCAAGGUCUUCAGCCAGUACCUCUACAGGCCACUAUCAGUGCUGCAACUGGUAUCCAGCCGUCACCUGUUAGUGUGGUUGGUGUAACUUCAGCUUUAGGUCAGCAGCCUUCCAUUUCCAGUCUGGCUCAACCCCAACUACCGUAUUCUCAGACGGUUCCUCCAGUGCAAGCCCCCCUUCCAGGAGCACCACCCCAACCGUUACAGUAUGGACAACAGCAGCCGACUGUCUCUACCCAGAUGGUCCCAGGCCAUGGUAAAUCCGUGGCUCAGAAUCCUUCAGAGUAUGUGCAGCAGCAGCCGAUUCUUCAAACAGCAGUGUCCUCCGGACAGCCCAGUUCUGCAGGAGUGGGAGCAGGAGCGACAGUGAUUCCUACGGCUCAGCCACAGAGUAUCCAGCUGCCGGUGCAGCCCACGGCAAUCCAAGCACAACCUGCAGGGGCAUCCGGCCAGCCUGUUGGCCAGGCUCAAACAGCAGUAUCUGUUGUACCUACUGGCAGUCAAAUUGCAAAUAUCGGUCAACAAGCAAACAUACCUACUGCAGUGCAGCAGCCCUCUACCCAAGUCACACCUUCGGUUGUUCAGCAAGGUGCUCCUCCAUCUUCACAAAUAGUUCCACCUGCUCAAACUGCGAUUAUUCAUCAGGGAGUUCAAACUAGUGCGUCAAGCCUUCCUCAACAGUUGGUCAUUGCACCCCAGAGUACCUUGUUAACUGUGCCUCCCCAGCCACAAGGAGUAGAAUCGGUAGCUCAAGUUGUUUCGCAGCCAUUGCCUGCAGUUAGUCCUUUGCCCUCUGCUAGUAGUAUUUCUGUUACAAGUCAGGUUAGUUCAACUGGUCCUUCUGGAAUGCCUUCUGCCCCAACAAACUUGGUUCCACCACAGAAUAUAGCACAAACCCCUGCCACUCAAAAUGGUAAUUUGGUUCAAAGUGUUAGUCAACCUCCCUUGAUAGCCAGUAACAUAAAUCUGCCUUUGGCACAACAGAUACCACUAAGUUCUACUCAGUUCUCUGCACAGUCAUUAGCUCAGGCAAUUGGAAGCCAAAUUGAAGAUGCCAGGCGCCCAGCGGAACCCUCCUUAGUUGGCUUACCUCAGACUAUCAGUGGUGACAGUGGGGGAAUGUCAGCAGUUUCAGAUGGGAGUAGCAGCAGCCUAGCAGCCCCUGCUUCUCUUUUCCCGUUGAAGGUGCUACCGCUGACGACACCCCUGGUGGAUGGCGAGGAUGAGAGCUCUCUAUUUCAGUGCUUCUCUCCUACCAGAGGUGCAAGGAGUGAUCCUAGAACCACAGAUACAGCCAAGACCACGGAGAGCUUUUGACGUCAGGGGUCCACUUUCUCCACUGAACCCUUGGAGGCAGAAUAUCCAGCUUCUGGAGAGAGUGGGAAAGGAUAAUAAACAAAUUUCUUUCAACUGGUAAACAUCAUACUUCUUCAGCAAAAGGAACUCUUCUAGCAGAGCCUUCAUGGAUGAUAUCUGUCACACAUGCAGCACCUGCAGUUUGGAAGGCAGUGGUGAACGGAGCCACGCAAUAUAUCUAGAAGACACAAGGAUGAGAGAGCCACCUGAUCUUGUCAUUUAUAAACUUUAAGAUUUACUCUCGUGUACUCUUGGUCUGGAACGGAAAGGCUCAAAUAAUGAAAUAAUUUUUUCAGAUUGGAGUUUUACAUGGCCAUGCAAAUAUUCCUUUCUAUUCAGAAGACUGAAAUAGAGAAAGUAUGAGAGACUCCUUUCUUUUAAAAGCAGCUCUCUGUUUCACUUAAAAGAUUUGUGGGAUUGAAAAUCACCUUAAUGAAGCAGGCAAAUUUUUUUUUUUAGUAGUAUAGGAGAUCCAGAAAACUUAACAAAAUUAUUUUUUGUUGCCUGACACUGAAAGGAACUAGUAAAUAAAAAGGUGAACUUCUUAACUAUUUCCAAGUUGCUUUUAUUAUUAGGAUACACUCUUUUAGCUUAUCUUUUUCUGCUCUUGAGCCUUCUUAUUUGUCAAGUCAACAAAGAUUCCAGUAUAGAAGUAGAGGAGACAUCUUGAGAUCAAAGUAGCUUGUUCGGUCUUCUAAAGUAGUAAAUACCUGUUAAAUUUGAGGUAUUGUUCUGCAUGGAAGGCAUUCUAAAGUUUGAAUGAUACUGAAACAAAGACGCAUGUAGAGAGCACAGGCAGUUAGUAGUAUGGGCAUAAGUCUCCACAUGUGAAUAAGUGUUGCAAAACAUUUAAUCCAAACGGAAGUAGUUAUCAAAAUGUUUCUUUUUUUCUCUUUGGCAUCUAUUAACUGAUCAGUCAAAAGCUAUUAAAGAAGUUUUUAAAAGCUACCUGAUGCUGCCAGUUUGUUUUAUUUGGUAUAAAGUUUAGGAAUAAGAAUCCUAGAGUUAUUAAUAUGGAAGCAUCUAAAAUGAUCUUGAAGGUCUUAGGAGCCGCAUUUGCUAAGUUAUACCUGGCGUGUCGCCUCUCUUUCUAUGAGACCUUUUUUUCCCCCCAUUAGUUAUGAAUUUUUGUAUAGUACUUAAAGGUUUAAAAGAUCAGUUUGAACUAAAAUUUCCGUAGGGAGCUCUGAAUUCCCAUAAACGAUUAUAGCUUUGUAUGCUUGAUUUGUUUUUGUUAAAUUUGGAUAAGAGUCUUCACAGACACCUAUAAAUUAAAAAAUGACUACCCAACAUUUUAGAAAGAACUGAGGGGAACUGAAAGUGAAAUUUGCUUGGAAAUUAAGUUAGUUGAACUCUUGGAACCACAGUACCAACCAGUUUAUGGCCUGUGCGACUAGCCUUUUGUUUCAGUUUUAAAGAUGAAAAGUGAUUUAAUCUCUUAACCUCAUGCUUUGAUUAAAUUUUAGCUCUGUUCCUUAAAGUGUGCAAAAGAAAUGUAAGUGCAUUUAAUUCACCUCAUGCCACUAAAAGCUAUUUAAAAGUGAAACUUUUUGUAUAUUAAUGUGAACUGAUUUGUUUAUUUAAACUUUUAUUUUGAUACAUUUUCCUUUCAGAUUUUUCAAUAUUUCGUGUCACUAUGCAAUCCUAUAUUUUUCAGUGUUUAUUUUAUGAUUAUUAGUAUAAGCUAAUUUUUUUUCCUAGAAUGACUAAUUGUGUAAUAUUUGUACUAUGUGAUCAUUUGAAAACUAAUAAAUAUUUUCUCCAUGAAAAAAAUGCACUUACUGAUAAAUGGCUUAUUUUUAUUUCAGGAGUAGAAAAUGAAAACUACAACAGUAUUUUUAAGUGUAUUUUAAUUUUAUGUGUCUUCCUCUAAGUAUUUCUGAAUAUAUAUCCUCUUCUUGUGUAUGUUAACCUUUUUGGAAACAAAAUUUUUUAAAAACUAUUAAAUUAAAAUGAUUCUUCAUUGGGUCAUCCAGUCCCAAAUGUAUGAAAUAGGUGAUCUAUUUAGUCUUUUUUCUCAUUUUCCUGAUAAGCUUCAUCUUUGUUUUCAGAAUUGGAUUUUUUUUUUUUUAAGAUACCGUUUUUGUGUGUCCAUUUUACGAACCAUUAAAACUCGAGUAAAUAUUGUAAAUAUCAGGAAUAAUAUGGUCAAGUUUUUUGAAGUGAGAUUGAUCAAAAUAUAAUCCCUUACAAAAUAGCAUAUAAAAGACAAAUUCUCAACCCAGGAAAGGAACAUUUGGAAAUAAUGGCUGAUUGGAGAACUAUCCAAUUCACAAGAGCUGUUAACAGGAGAAAGAAAAAUGUUUUAAUGUUCUGUUUGAACAAAUAAUUGUAGAAGGAAAAACCUUAUUUAAGAGUCUCUUGCUUUUAACCUUAUCAAGACAACAUGGAAAAGGGUAAAGCUUGGUUUUUGGGAUUCUUUAUAGCUUACAUAAACUUAUUUGAAGCCACUGGAACAAUUUACCUUUUCUAUGCAGAGUCUGCUAGAAGCAAGAGGGUUUUCCCUUUUGAUUUGAAGAAAACUUACAUAAGAAGUGGACUCUAAAAAUUAAAAAUGAACAUUGUGAUGGUGUCCUAGGCAAGAAAUAAAAGUUGAAUUAAUGACAACUUGUGGAUUAAAAUGAAACAGUUUGGCUCCCCAAAGAAAUUAUACUCUGAAAAAAUAAAGAAAAAGG
RNA transcript from Panthera uncia (snow leopard), 6929 nucleotides. It is a transcript of the gene named TSC22 domain family member 1, with no coding region annotated. The transcript is spliced from 3 exons. The record is from RefSeq and is a predicted model, not a curated record. Lineage: Eukaryota; Metazoa; Chordata; Mammalia; Carnivora; Felidae.